RNAcentral lists this ribosomal RNA (446 nucleotides) under uncultured bacterium. RNAcentral describes it as "partial 16S ribosomal RNA". It matches the Rfam family "Bacterial small subunit ribosomal RNA", at positions 338 to 795 of the family's 1533-position model. The record is from RNAcentral.
CCUACGGGGCGCUGCAGUCGAGAAUCAUUCACAAUGGGGGAAACCCUGAUGGUGCGACGCCGCGUGGGGGAAUGAAGGUCUUCGGAUUGUAAACCCCUGUCAUGUGGGAGCAAAUUAAAAAGAUAGUACCACAAGAGGAAGAGACGGCUAACUCUGUGCCAGCAGCCGCGGUAAUACAGAGGUCUCAAGCGUUGUUCGGAAUCACUGGGCGUAACGCGUGCGUAGGCUGUUUCGUAAGUCGUGUGUGAAAGGCGCGGGCUCAACCCGCGGACGGCACAUGAUACUGCGAGACUAGAGUAAUGGAGGGGGAACCGGAAUUCUCGGUGUAGCAGUGAAAUGCGUAGAUAUCGAGAGGAACACUCGUGGCGAAGGCGGGUUCCUGGACAUUAACUGACGCUGAGGCACGAAGGCCAGGGGAGCGAAAGGGAUUAGAUACCCUUGUAGUC